AUGAACGCUAGCGACAGGCCUAACACAUGCAAGUCGAGGGGCAGCACAAGGAGCAAUCUGAGGUGGCGACCGGCGCACGGGUGAGUAACACGUAUGCAACCUGCCUGUAAGCGGGGAAUAACCCGUUGAAAGACGGACUAAUACCGCAUAAUACUAAAUUACUGCAUGGUAAUUUAUUUAAACAUUUAUGGCUUACAGAUGGGCAUGCGCAUGAUUAGCUAGUUGGAGAGGUAACGGCUCCCCAAGGCAACGAUCAUUAGGGGUUCUGAGAGGAAGGUCCCCCACACUGGUACUGAGACACGGACCAGACCCCUACGGGAGGCAGCAGUGAGGAAUAUUGGUCAAUGGACGAGAGUCUGAACCAGCCAAGUCGCGUGCAGGAAGAAUGUCCUUAAUGGAUUGUAAACUGCUUUUGCAGGGGAAUAAAGUGCAUCACGUGUGAUGUUUUGUAUGUACUCUGCGAAUAAGGAUCGGCUAACUCCGUGCCAGCAGCGGC
RNAcentral lists this ribosomal RNA (496 nucleotides) under uncultured bacterium. RNAcentral's name for it is "bacterial SSU rRNA". It matches the Rfam family "Bacterial small subunit ribosomal RNA", at positions 29 to 518 of the family's 1533-position model. The record is from RNAcentral.